GGAUUAGAUACCCUGGUAGUCCACGCCGUAAACGAUGCGCACUAGAUCGUGGAAGGUCUGACCCUGCUCACGGUCGAAGCAAAAGUGUUAAGUGCGCCGCCUGGGGAGUACGGUCGCAAGGCUAAAACUCAAAGGAAUUGACGGGGGCUCACACAAGCGGUGGAGCAUGUGGCUUAAUUCGAAACAACGCGAAGAACCUUAUCCUGGGUUUGACAUGCAUGGAUUAGCUUCUGGAAACAGGAGUAACGCGGCUUGCCGUGGAACAUGCACAGGUGCUGCAUGGCUGUCGUCAGCUCGUGCUG
This 302-nucleotide ribosomal RNA is filed under the name uncultured bacterium. Its description in RNAcentral is "bacterial SSU rRNA". It matches the Rfam family "Bacterial small subunit ribosomal RNA", at positions 775 to 1067 of the family's 1533-position model. The record is from RNAcentral.